UUAAAAAUACAAUGAGAAACUAAAUUCAUUUCAACUUUUUUAAGUUCAAUAUCUAAGAAUAGAUUGUUCUAUUAAGUUAAGGUAGAUCCAGAGAAAUACCAUAAGAAACUAAAUUGCCUAUUACUUUUUAGAAAUCCAAUAUCUUAAAAUAAACUUUGCGACACGAUUAAGAAGAUUAAGUUAAGCAAUAACUAAUUCUUAAGUGAACCACAUGGUAACUUAAUACAACUAGACUAUUAAACCAAUAAAAUUGUAAAUUUUUUAAAGAAAUAUUAAGUUGUGGAUCAUUUGAUGAUCGCAUUGUGGCAAAUUUAGAGUGGAAACAAUUUAAUAUUACCAUAUGCUCGAUUUUAUUUAUUUUUCAUCUUCGCAACGCUAAUGGGUUAAUGCAAUUUAUUAUACAACAACAGCAGUAGCAACAACAACAGCAGCAGGAGCCAAAGCGUGUCAAGUGAAAUGAAAAUGCGACUGGCGACGACCUUGAAAUCCAAAUUGUGGCACGAUGACGUCAUCCGUCAACACAAUAUCAAAACUGGCACAACCAACAGGCAAUGAAACGCGACGAGACGAGUAAAAACAGCUGUUGUAUAUACCUAAUUUCCUCAUUUUAAUGGCCACAGAAAGCGAAACCGGUUUGUCUUGUUUGUUGUUCUCCGGCCAAUAGAAGUGCGAAUAAUUAAGCAGCUGACAAAAACCAGCAGCCAAAACAACAGCGAAAACAUGCGUGUGCUUAUAUAGUAGAUUUCGGCCUAGAGACAUUCAACUUUCAUGAUUGUUUACCAUAGACAUAACUUUAGGUGUUAUACGCUCGUAGAGGAAGAAGUUAAUUAUUCAAUUAAUUAGCAGAGAAAGUCGAUAUCUACAUCAUUCUUUAUUUAGCUAUCAGGUCUUGAGAAAACAAAAAAAAAGAGUUAUUGAUGAAAUAUAACAACUGAUUUUAUAUAUCUUGCAUUUUGCAUUCAUUUUAAUACAUUUGGUUGUGUUUUUUCCUUUUUUUGUUUGUUGUAUUUGCGUGUAGAAAAGUGAACAUAAAAUCAACGUCCUUUCAUACGCUGCUCUCUCUAUAAGUGUAUGUGAGUGUCGUGUCUGUGUUUUAUAUAUAUAUAGUAUAUCUACAUAGCUACAUACAUGGUUUUGUUUACAUCAUAUUUAAUUAAACAUAAUAAAUACAUAUCUAAGCAUAUAAAUAUAUAUACGUGUGUAUAUUAAUACAAAUAUAUUUAUAUAUAUAUAGAUAUUUAACAGAUAAUACAUCCACUUGUUACGUCCACACUAAACAUUGGGCCUCCCGUCUGCCGAACGAUCCGACAGACUCAACAGUAGUACAAGUGAUACAAAAAUACAUAAUGAAUAAA
Drosophila sulfurigaster albostrigata is the source of this 1355-nucleotide long non-coding RNA. RefSeq lists it as uncharacterized. The transcript is spliced from 2 exons. The record is from RefSeq and is a predicted model, not a curated record. Lineage: Eukaryota; Metazoa; Arthropoda; Insecta; Diptera; Drosophilidae.